AUUGAACGCUGGCGGCAUGCCUUACACAUGCAAGUCGAACGGUAACGGGCCUUCGGGUGCCGACGAGUGGCGAACGGGUGAGUAAUACAUCGGAACGUGCCCGAUCGUGGGGGAUAACGAGGCGAAAGCUUUGCUAAUACCGCAUACGAUCUACGGAUGAAAGCAGGGGACCGCAAGGCCUUGCGCGGGCGGAGCGGCCGAUGGCAGAUUAGGUAGUUGGUGGGAUAAAAGCUUACCAAGCCGACGAUCUGUAGCUGGUCUGAGAGGAUGAUCAGCCACACUGGGACGGAGACACGGCCCAGACUCCUACGGGAGGCAGCAGUGGGGAAUUUUGGACAAUGGGCGCAAGCCUGAUCCAGCCAUGCCGCGUGCAGGAUGAAGGCCUUCGGGUUGUAAACUGCUUUUGUACGGAACGAAAAGCCUUCUUUUAAUACAGGAGGGUCAUGACGGUACCGUAAGAAUAAGCACCGGCUAACUACGUG
This 482-nucleotide ribosomal RNA is filed under the name uncultured bacterium. RNAcentral describes it as "partial 16S ribosomal RNA". It matches the Rfam family "Bacterial small subunit ribosomal RNA", at positions 30 to 507 of the family's 1533-position model. The record is from RNAcentral.